RNAcentral lists this long non-coding RNA (5344 nucleotides) under Selaginella moellendorffii. RNAcentral's name for it is "long non-coding RNA (SMOE_LNC000869)". Lineage: Eukaryota; Viridiplantae; Streptophyta; Lycopodiopsida; Selaginellales; Selaginellaceae. The record is from RNAcentral.
CUGUGUGAGUCGAAUUGCAACUGCACGGCUGCCUUCUAUAGUGACCGGGCCUGCUUUCUCGUGCAUGGAGACGUGCAAUCACUUCGAACUGGACAAUACGUUGCGUUAUUGAAAGUUGCACAGCCACGAAAGAAUUCCAGGAAGCACGUCCAGGCCAUCACCUUGGGAGUACUUAUUCCAACAGUCGUCCUACUGAUAGUAAGCCUCGGAUGGCGCUGCCGGAGGAACAAGGAAGAUGACGACGAGGGAGAAGAAGAAAGCACCUUGCAGCUCUCUCUCAUGGCUGGCAUGCCGAGGCGUUUUAGUUACCAGGAGCUCCAGCAAGUCACAGGGAACUUCAGUGACAGACUGGGAAGCGGAGGAUAUGGAAGCGUGUUCAAAGGAAAACUUACCGAUGGAACUGAAGUCGCUGUGAAGAAACUUGAAGGCUCCAAUCAGAGGAGCAAAGAUUUUUUCGCCGAAGUUGGAAUCCUAGCCAGGACGCACCACUGGAACCUCGUCAAGCUGCUGGGAUUCUGUGCCCAAGGUCCCAGGAAAAGGCUCCUUGUGUACGAAUAUAUGAAGAACGGGUCCCUGGAGCGAUGGAUAUUUGAAGACGAUAGAAAGCCUGGCAGUUUUACAUGGGACGUUAGAUACAACAUUGCCUUGGGCACAGCAAGAGGAUUGAGUUACUUACAUGACGACUGCGCUGAGAGGAUCAUCCACCUGGACCUGAAGCCGGAGAAUGUGCUCGUCGACGAUGGUUUCCAGCCGAAGAUAGCCGACUUCGGAUUGUCCAAGCUCAUGGACAGGAAGGAAAGCCAGCUACAACUGACAAUUGCGAGAGGCACCCCUGGAUACGUCGCACCCGAGUGUGUUCAGGAAGGAACGGUGACUGAGAAAACCGACGUUUUCGGCUACGGGGUACUGCUGCUCGAGAUGUUAACAGGUUGCAAGAACAGGAACCUCUCAAGUGAUUACCUGAAGGACUUCUUGUUAGUCAGUGGACAGAACGACAGUGCUGCUGCUCACCUCCAUCAAGACGAGAAGAAAAGAGAAAGAUUGAAGAACGUUGCAGCCUUGUGCGUCCAAGACGAUCCAGAUUUACGGCCCUCGAUGAGCAACGUGGUACAAAUGAUACUGGGAGUUACUGAGCUGCCUCAAAUGCCCUCGCGAUCACAGCUGAAUUUCUUUCUUGCUUACAGAUCCAAAGAGCACUUGAACAGGAGCUCAGGCUCGGACGUCUCGCAUAGGAGUUUUGAUAAGUUGCUGGAUUCAUCGAUGUCAUCGACGUCAUUUGCAAUUUUCUCACAAAAUAGUGGUCGAUAGUUAAACCGGAGUAUAAUUUAAACGUAGGUAUAGUAUUGCCUCUGAAAAUCACAAAAUUUGUUGAGGUUCAUUCUUUGUCAAAGAAGUAAAAAUAUACCUUCGGAGGAAGUAUUUCGUCCUUGUUCAACAAGAGAAUCGCCGAUCACAAUGCUUCUAGGAGUUUUGGGUUUGGUGGUUCAGAAUCGUGUUCUUCGUUCCCUACGUCGCAGCGUCGCGCAGUGUUUCUUGCCAAGAAAAAUGAAAAGUCGCUGUUAGACUCCGCAAACCAUUACUAAACAAUACCUCACACAUGGUCACAUUGCAGUGCCGCAUUGAAUAGCAAUUAGCGUUGAAACAGUCCCGACGAGACAAUUUCCUGGCAUUACUAAAACUCAACGAUGAACAGCGGCACAAACUAUUCCUUAUCAGCUGUGUAAACGCGAACGAAUAGAUAACUUUAGUCAUACGUACUUGCGGAAAGACUUCUUCAAAGCUAAUGCUUCGAGUCGCUGGAACUCCCGAGUAUGUGAGCGCGCUCUCCAGCAACACAAGCCAUGGCUAGCAGAGAGCUGUACUUCCUCGUCUCGUUGGUCUUCAUCCUUCGCUCUGCUCAAGCGGCACAGGAAUUUCACCACCAAAAUAGAUGGUCCUUUGUAUCCGCUUGAUCCAUACGGUUUGAGUGGCCGCUACGCUGGUUUACGGUCAAAUUAUAGCGACAUAGGUAUCAGCAAGGACAUGAGUUACCAGGUGUGGAUGCUGAGUUAUAACGCUGAAACGCCAAAAUCGUUUUUCCUGGCACUCAUUGCCAUCCAAAAUCCAAGGGAGUUUUGGGAUCUCACAAGACCGGUCAUCCUGUGGAAGGCCAGACAGACGAGGCUUGUAGGUGAGAAUGCCACUUUAGAAUUUACCACAGAUGGAGAGCUUAAAGUCGAAGAAGACGGUGAUGUCGUAUGGUCCACGAAAACUGCAAACAGAGGCGACCGGUGGCUCUGCAUUUCCAAUCGCGCAACCAUAAUGCUCCUGGACGAAAGCGGAAGCAAUGUCAUCUGGCAAAGCAGCGACGAACCUUCUGAUACUGUGCUGUUGCAACGAGCACUUACGCCGGGACAAAAGCUCGUAAGUUUCAAUACUUCAGAAGACAGCAGCGAUGACAGUCUCGUCAUGGAGAAAAGCAGGCUGCAACUGUUGUACGCCUCGCAACCGUAUUGGAGUUUCGGUAAUAUUGGCAGCGAGGAAAACAUGUUUGCGGUGUUUUGCUGGCAAAACGAUGGUAACGUGUCUCUGGAUCUGCGAGCCAACUUCUCACAGAUUGAAACGAAGCGUGAUGACUUGGGCUUAGUGUUUUCCUGGUCAUGUUCCAGUCGAGGUUUAAAAGACCAAGUGAUGGAGUUGCCAAUAGAUGGGUCACAGCUCACGCCCUCCACUUUCAUAAAGCUGAAACCGGACGGGGAUGUCGUCUUGUACUCCUGGAAUUGGACGGGUACAAACUGGAUAGAUUUCUUCAGGUUUUCGACUCUCUUCAAGUGCUUUCUUCCAAGUGGAUGUGGAAGAUACAGAACCUGCAAUUCAGCAUCAGGCGCAUGCGAGGAAACUUGUCCAGAUACCUUUGCAAGAAGAGGUGAAGACUGCCAGCCACCAUAUCCCCUAGAGACAUGCGAAGACCAGCUCGAGUAUCGAUUCGUUCGAAGAGAGGGAGCUGAUUACUUCUCCACAAAUUAUUCCACUCCAGUUCCUGAAGCAUCAGUGGAGGCGUGUCAGGGGCGAACUUUCCAUGUGAGUCGAACUGCACCUGCACGGCGGCCUUUUAUAAUGACGGGAUCUGCUUUCUCACGCACGGCGACGUGCAGUCACUCCGAUCUGGGAAGUACGUUGCUCUGCUGAAAGUUGCCCGCCCUCGAAAGGUUUCCAAGACGCAACUCCAGGCCAUCACAUUGGGAGUACUUGUUCCAACACUGUUCCUGCUGAUAGUCCGUCUCGGAUGGCACUGCCGGAGGAGAAAUACGCAUGAUGACGACGAGGGAGAAGAAGAAAGCACCUUGCAGCUAUCCCUCAUGGCGGGUAUGCCCAGGCGCUUCAGUUUCCAGGAGCUUGAAGAAGUCACAGGGAAGUUCAGCAACUGCCUCGGGAAUGGGGGAUUCGGAAACGUUUUCAAAGGAUUACUUGCCGAUGGCACUGAAGUUGCUGUGAAGAAGCUCGAAGGCUCGAACCACAGAAGUAAGGACUUUUUUGCGGAAGUUGGAAUUCUAGCCAGGACGCACCACUGGAACCUCGUCAAGCUGCUGGGAUUCUGUGCGCAAGGGCCCAGGAAAAGGCUCCUUGUGUACCAGUAUAUGAAGAAUGGCUCCCUAGAGCGGUGGAUAUUUGAAGACGACAGAAUUCCUGGGAAUAUUUCGUGGAAACUUAGAUUCAACAUCCCAAUAGGCACAGCGAGAGGAUUGAACUACUUACGUGUUGAAAGGAUAAUCCACCUGGAUCUGAAGCCGGAGAACGUACUCCUCGACGAUGGUUUCCAGCCGAAGAUAGCAGACUUCGGAUUGUCCAAGCUCAUGAACAGGAAGGAAAGCCAGUUGCAGCUGACGAUUACGAGAGGCACCCCUGGCUACGUUGCACCGGAGUGUAUUCAGGAAGGAACGGUGACUGAAAAAACAGAUGUUUUCGGCUUCGGGGUUCUGCUGCUCGAGAUCAUAACAGGCUGCAAGAACAGGAACCUCUCAGGCGAUUACCUGAAGGACUACUUGUUGGUUAGUAACAGAAACGGUAGUGCCGCUGCUCACCUCUCUGAAGAAGAGAACGAAAAGGAAAGAUUGAAGAAUGUUGCGGCGUUGUGUGUUCGAGACGAUCCAAACUUACGGCCCUCGAUGAGCAAGGUUAUACAGAUGAUGGAAGGAGUUACCGAGCUGCUUCAAGUACCUUUGGAAUCGGAGCUGAAUUUCUUUUUCGCUUACAGACCCAAAGAUCAGCUUAGCAGAACCGCAGCCUCGAACGUGAAUUAUAGGAGUUCUGAUAAGUUGCUGAACUCAUCUUCCUCGUUUACUGCCUUCUCACAAUCUAGCCUGAAUGCCCGAUGAAAUUAUACGUUACAACAUUGAACGAAAAAUAUACCUUCGUUGAUUCGCUACUGCUGAAACUGUUGCGCUAAGCCAAAAACAAUGUAGCUGCAAUAUCAUUGAAUCAUCAACCUCCAAAGAAGAACAGUUAUAUCUUCUCCUAUUUGAGUUCCAGAUACUCAUAAAGGAAAUUCGUCGUCGAAGUCUGUAGAAAAAUCGUCAAUCAGUACGUGAUUCAAAACUAGAAAUUAUAAGAAACCGUUUCGAGCUUCGGCUUUCAGCAAUAGCAGGCUACAAAAAGAAAAACCUCGCGAAAUAUCCUGAAAAGCUCCAUCAGGAACACAAGAAAAGAGAAAGAUUGCCAAUCGUCAUUGCAAUGUGGGGUAAAAAGGCAAUAUUGAGCUUAAAAUCGCAGGUGAUCUUGAGAGAAAAGGAUGGAGCUCCCUCAUAAGAGUUUCGAAAAGAUGCUGAAACUAUCAAUAUCGUUCAAGGAUUUGCCACAACACGAGUCCAUCUAGAGCACAAAAAAAGGAAUAGCAAUAUUCUUAGCUUGAAGACCAAAAUUUACCAAACGAUGGACAGCGUCUCCCUGGAGCUAACACAGUUGGAGCACAACGUAAGCGCAUCACAGCACACUCUUCCUCUAUCAACGAACAGCGACCAAAGUGUGAGCGUCCAUCUAAAGCCAAAGGAAUUCUUUGUCUAGGCGAAAUAUAUCUCAGAUUUCACGGAUCUUCUGUGACGAGCUCCAGCGCCAAGAAAAAGAAAUCGCGCCAUGGCAUUGCAUUCUACAAAUUGCGAGGUUACUCAGCCGCAAGAAUCGAAACUGGAGAAAGCAAACUCAAUGAAUGAAACAUCACCUCAAAGAUCCACCAAAAUGCUCGAUCAAUGCAACAUUGCGCCGACCUCCACGGAAAUGCGAUGUUAAAGCUCUCGAUCGGCAGAAAUCCAUGAGCCAUUCAUAAACCCUAGAACACAAACCCACUUUAAGAGGCCUUAACAGGUCCCGC